This 468-nucleotide ribosomal RNA is filed under the name uncultured bacterium. RNAcentral's name for it is "partial 16S ribosomal RNA". It matches the Rfam family "Bacterial small subunit ribosomal RNA", at positions 28 to 507 of the family's 1533-position model. The record is from RNAcentral.
GACGAACGCUGGCGGCGUGCUUAACACAUGCAAGUCGAACGGAAAGGCCCUGCUUUUGUGGGGUGCUCGAGUGGCGAACGGGUGAGUAACACGUGAGUAACCUGCCCUUGACUUUGGGAUAACUUCAGGAAACUGGGGCUAAUACCGGAUAGGAGCUCCUGCUGCAUGGUGGGGGUUGGAAAGUUUCGGCGGUUGGGGAUGGACUGGCGGCUUAUCAGCUUGUUGGUGGGGUAGUGGCUUACCAAGGCUUUGACGGGUAGCCGGCCUGAGAGGGUGACCGGCCACAUUGGGACUGAGAUACGGCACAGACUCCUACGGGAGGCAGCAGUGGGAAAUAUUGCACAAUGGGCGGAAGCCUGAUGCAGCAACGCCGCGUGCGGGAUAACGGCCUUCGGGUUGUAAACCGCUUUCGCCUGUGACGAAGCGUGAGUGACGGUAAUGGGUAAAGAAGCACCGGCUAACUACGUG